GAUGAACGCUGGCGGCAUGCCUAAGACAUGCAAGUCGUACGAAGUGGCCCAUUGAUGAUUGAGUGCUUGCACAAGAUUUGAUUUGGAUUCCCACUUAGUGGCGCAAGGGUGAGUAACGCGUAGGUUAUCUGCCUUCGAGUUUGGAAUAACAAUUAGAAAUGAUUGCUAAUGCCGGAUUAUAUUUAAGAUGAUACGUUGUCUUAAAUUAAAAGGAGCCUUUAAAGCUUCGCUUGAAGAUGAGCCUGCGUCGUAUUAGCUAGUUGGUGGGGUAAUGGCCUACCAAGGCAACGAUGCGUAGCCGACCUGAGAGGGUGAUCGGCCACACUGGGACUGAGACACGGCCCAGACUCCUACGGGAGGCAGCAGUGGGGAAUAUUGCACAAUGGAGGAAACUCUGAUGCAGCGACGCCGCGUGAGUGAAGAAGUAAUCGUUAUGUAAAGCUCUAUCAGCAGGGAAGAUAGUGACGGU
This 469-nucleotide ribosomal RNA is filed under the name uncultured bacterium. RNAcentral describes it as "bacterial SSU rRNA". It matches the Rfam family "Bacterial small subunit ribosomal RNA", at positions 28 to 458 of the family's 1533-position model. The record is from RNAcentral.